AUAGAGAAUGCAGACAAUCAUAUUGUAAUAACUAUGUUUACUGCCAGGUGGGUACUAAACUUACUAAGGGGAUCACUUUGCAAAGUAUGUAAAUUUCUAAUCACUAUGCUAUAUACCUGAAACUAAUACAAAAUAAUAUUGAAUGCCAACUGUAAUUGAAAACAUAAAAUUAAAUAUUAAAAAAAAACAUGUAUAUGACUAUGAUAAGACUAUCCCAUGUCUGACAGGAAGGAAAGCAACUUAUCCCUCCCAGGCUGUGGAGGAGGAGUGCAUUCAACUUCCUUCAAGAGGUAUGUGAUGGGCAGAAUUUUAUCCUCAAAUGCAGGAAAUCUGAGCAUCUCUAAAAGGAGACACAAAGAAUUCAGUUCAAAGAGCAGGGCUAUAAACAAGUGAAACAAUGCAAGAUGUACAGGGGGAAGCUGAAAAGGAAUGGGGUCCACAAAGAGCCAAAAUCAUGUGACAGGAAUGAGCACUUCAGUCUCACAGCACUGAUGCAGGUCUCCUCAGAGUCCAGGAGGCAGGCUUUGUUUAUGAGACACAGAGAAGACAGCCAUCUACACCCCAAGGAAAGAGGCCUCAAGAGAAACCAACCCUGACCACACCAUGAUCUCACACUUCUACCUCCAGAACUGUGAGAGAAUAAACAUCU
Molecule: long non-coding RNA, 649 nt
Organism: Phyllostomus discolor (pale spear-nosed bat)
Lineage: Eukaryota; Metazoa; Chordata; Mammalia; Chiroptera; Phyllostomidae
Exons: 2
Source: RefSeq, a predicted model, not a curated record